This 492-nucleotide ribosomal RNA is filed under the name uncultured bacterium. Its description in RNAcentral is "partial 16S ribosomal RNA". It matches the Rfam family "Bacterial small subunit ribosomal RNA", at positions 29 to 507 of the family's 1533-position model. The record is from RNAcentral.
AGUGAACGCUGGCGGUAGGCCUAACACAUGCAAGUCGGACGGCAGCACAGUAAGAGCUUGCUCUUACGGGUGGCGAGUGGCGGACGGGUGAGGAAUACAUCGGAAUCUACUUUUUCGUGGGGGAUAACGUAGGGAAACUUACGCUAAUACCGCAUACGACCUACGGGUGAAAGCAGGGGAUCUUCGGACCUUGCGCGAUUGAAUGAGCCGAUGUCGGAUUAGCUAGUUGGCGGGGUAAAGACCCACCAAGGCGACGAUCCGUAGCUGGUCUGAGAGGAUGAUCAGCCACACUGGAACUGAGACACGGUCCAGACUCCUACGGGAGGCAGCAGUGGGGAAUAUUGGACAAUGGGCGCAAGCCUGAUCCAGCCAUACCGCGUGGGUGAAGAAGGCCUUCGGGUUGUAAAGCCCUUUUGUUGGGAAAGAAAAGCAGCAGGUUAAUACCCCGCUGUUCUGACGGUACCCAAAGAAUAAGCACCGGCUAACUUCGUG